GGGAGAUGGGAAACAUCAAGGGAAGGAGGGCUUGGGCCAGGGGAGGGGCACAUUUUCAGGAUAUGUCCCUAAGGGAGCAGGUACAGCUUUGUGCCUUCUAUCCAGAGAUUAAGUGAACUGUCCAGGAGGAGUCACCCACAGAGGCGAAGGUUUCCUUCAGCUGCGCUCUUCAGCGAUCUCUAGCCAGGUUGAUGGGGCUGUCUGGUUUUGUGUGCACAGAUCACAGGUCCUUUAGAACAGCCUCUCA
RNAcentral lists this long non-coding RNA (247 nucleotides) under Bos taurus (domestic cattle). RNAcentral describes it as "long non-coding RNA NONBTAT019056". Lineage: Eukaryota; Metazoa; Chordata; Mammalia; Artiodactyla; Bovidae. The record is from RNAcentral.